RNAcentral lists this transfer RNA (73 nucleotides) under Ovis aries (sheep). It matches the Rfam family "tRNA". Rfam says of the family: Transfer RNA (tRNA) molecules are approximately 80 nucleotides in length. Their secondary structure includes four short double-helical elements and three loops (D, anti-codon, and T loops). Further hydrogen bonds mediate the characteristic L-shaped molecular structure. tRNAs have two regions of fundamental functional importance: the anti-codon, which is responsible for specific mRNA codon recognition, and the 3' end, to which the tRNAs corresponding amino acid is attached (by aminoacyl-tRNA synthetases). tRNAs cope with the degeneracy of the genetic code in two manners: having more than one tRNA (with a specific anti-codon) for a particular amino acid; and 'wobble' base-pairing, i.e. permitting non-standard base-pairing at the 3rd anti-codon position. The record is from Rfam by way of RNAcentral. Lineage: Eukaryota; Metazoa; Chordata; Mammalia; Artiodactyla; Bovidae.
UUCCUGGUGGUUUAGUGGUUAAGACUCUGUACUUCCACUAUAGUGGACCCAGGUUCAAACCCUGGUCGAGAAA